Zootermopsis nevadensis is the source of this 476-nucleotide non-coding RNA. The record is from RefSeq and is a predicted model, not a curated record. NCBI's taxonomy places the organism in Eukaryota, Metazoa, Arthropoda, Insecta, Blattodea, Termopsidae.
GAAAAAAGAGUGGAAAGUAUCAUAAUUAUUUGAAGGGAGACUUUGCUGAUACGACAGCCCGUACCUGUACAGAUAUCAAGAUGAAACGUAACUGAGAUUCUGUUACAGGUUUGGCAAGGUUUACCUGGCGAAGAAGAAGAAGAAGGGUGGAAGUGACGCCGGGAAACUUUACGCCAUAAAGAACAUCAGGAGGAGAUCACUAGAGAGGAGGGACAUCGACCAGGCGUGGAUGGAGCGUCACGUAUUUGAAAAAACGCUUAAAAAAUUAUUAAUUGCGCAGGGGAGGUGCAUUUUUCUCUGCUUUGGAGUUUUUAUUUUUGCAUAUAGCAUUUCACUUUAAGAUAUGAGCUGCCAACCAGGAAAUAUUAUCAGAACUUUUUGUUUUCAGACCAACAAGCUGCAGACGCCAAAAAGGAAGGAAACAAAGGACGUGGAAAAAUUCAGAAUCCCUAACAUGGCAUACAUAGUGUUGGAAU